CCUACGGGUUGCUGCAGUGGGGAAUAUUGGACAAUGGGCGAAAGCCUGAUCCAGCCAUGCCGCGUGUGUGAAGAAGGCCUUCGGGUUGUAAAGCACUUUCAGUGGGGAAGAAAGCCUUGGGGCUAAUACCCUCGAGGAAGGACAUCACCCACAGAAGAAGCACCGGCUAACUCCGUGCCAGCAGCCGCGGUAAUACGGAGGGUGCGAGCGUUAAUCGGAAUUACUGGGCGUAAAGCGCGCGUAGGCGGUCUGAUAAGCCGGUUGUGAAAGCCCCGGGCUCAACCUGGGAACGGCAUCCGGAACUGUCAGGCUAGAGUGCAGGAGAGGAAGGUAGAAUUCCCGGUGUAGCGGUGAAAUGCGUAGAGAUCGGGAGGAAUACCAGUGGCGAAGGCGGCCUUCUGGACUGACACUGACGCUGAGGUGCGAAAGCGUGGGUAGCAAACAGGAUUAGAUACCCGGGUAGUC
This 465-nucleotide ribosomal RNA is filed under the name Vreelandella stevensii. Its description in RNAcentral is "partial 16S ribosomal RNA". It matches the Rfam family "Bacterial small subunit ribosomal RNA", at positions 338 to 795 of the family's 1533-position model. Lineage: Bacteria; Pseudomonadati; Pseudomonadota; Gammaproteobacteria; Oceanospirillales; Halomonadaceae. The record is from RNAcentral.